Molecule: non-coding RNA, 71 nt
Organism: Aspergillus indologenus CBS 114.80
Lineage: Eukaryota; Fungi; Ascomycota; Eurotiomycetes; Eurotiales; Aspergillaceae
Source: the annotation of a GenBank genome assembly
GCCGGUGUGGUGUAAGUGGAGAACAUCCCGCACGUCCUGAGGAGAUCUGGGUUCGAACCCCAGCACUGGCA